GGCGACAUUUAAUUUCCCCACUCACGGAAUACAGUCGACAAACUGGGAACAGAAUAUCAAAUUUCGUCUAGCUUUUGGCGACUUAUGAUACCCCUUUCACCGGCAAACACUGAAUUAUCGGACAACAUGAAAUCAGGGACUAAAUUCACCAGCAUUCAUGAUCCUCGGACCACCCGCCCCCUACGCACAGCCGAUUUAUAAAUGUUGCAUCUUUCAAUCAGUGUCAAUCCCAAGAAGAACCCUGAUCAGCUCCUGGAAAAAUCAGUGUUCUUGCAGUAUUGUCAGUCAAAUCUCAAGGAAAGGAUCCCAGAAGAGGAACAUUUACAUUAUUUCAGACUUUUUUCUUUCCUGUGUAACAAUGCCUCAAACAGCUAACACAUUUUAUAUAGUAUACAAUACAAUGUGUAUUAAUAACAGUCCAGUUAGAGUGCUGUGUUAUGCAGUAAAAAUACUUAAUUCUUGAUGACAUGUUGGUUUUAUGUUUACAUUAAACGGUAGUUAUAAUAUAUACUAAAGAAACAUAGUGGAUAAUGCCUUGUACAGGAGCAGGAGUAUGACAGUGUAAUAGUACAUGACUGCUGCGUUCAUCCAUGGAAGGAAUCUGUUAUUCGAAAUAAAGCUUUCCAUGAGGACGAAAAA
Pecten maximus is the source of this 639-nucleotide long non-coding RNA. RefSeq lists it as uncharacterized. The transcript is spliced from 3 exons. The record is from RefSeq and is a predicted model, not a curated record. NCBI's taxonomy places the organism in Eukaryota, Metazoa, Mollusca, Bivalvia, Pectinida, Pectinidae.